RNAcentral lists this small nuclear RNA (23 nucleotides) under Arabidopsis thaliana (thale cress). RNAcentral's name for it is "snRNA_07090". The record is from RNAcentral. Lineage: Eukaryota; Viridiplantae; Streptophyta; Magnoliopsida; Brassicales; Brassicaceae.
AGCACUAAUGCACCGGAUCCCAU